RNAcentral lists this long non-coding RNA (2498 nucleotides) under Equus asinus (donkey). RNAcentral's name for it is "lncRNA (ENSEASG00005030782.1)". The record is from RNAcentral. Lineage: Eukaryota; Metazoa; Chordata; Mammalia; Perissodactyla; Equidae.
GUGGAGGAAAUCACUAGGAAGCUCAGUGAGCAGAGUCAAGAUUGUUGGCUGGUUAAUCCAUGGGGCUAUUGUAUUCAGCUGGAUGAUUACGGCAGCUAAGGUGAGGAUGGAGAUUGUGCACAGGUGCUAACGUCUUCAAGGAGGACUUGGAGGUUGAAGCAGCAAGAGUGGUGAAGCUGCAUGAUAUGAAUCUCAAAGUUCCAGAAAAGGAUUUGGAUGGAGCUGUUGGAAACCAGGAGGAUACUAAUCCAACUUCUUAGCCCACUGCUUAAGUACUGGAGGCGUGAGAGGGAAAACAAACAAAAAAGCACCUUGCCUGAGUAGGAUAAAGGAGAAAUCAUGUUUACUGGGAACAUCGAGGUUUCAGGGUCGUGACAAUUCAAAUUUUCCCCCUUGGAAGUACUACACUAGAAAUAGGCCAUAAAGAAGAAUUUUCAGGACAUAAAAUAGGGCAGAUUUGGAAUUAAGAGAUGCAGCAUUCAAUAAAGGUGGACCUUAUUUUACAUAUUCUGAUUAUUGUGCUUCAAGCAAUCUCUUCUUCUCAAGUUACUCCCACCACAUGGCCUAGUCAACUGCUACUGAGCUGGGAACCAGAAGACCCUAGCAAGACUACCGUAGAACUCGCAUUUUGAUUGCUUGGUCAGUGAUAUAUGGGAAGUCAUGAGUCACAGACUGGGUUGUCUGUGAAAAGAAGAAAGAAAGAAAAGAGAGAAGAGAAGAGAAGAGAAAAGAGAAAACAUGAACUGGGACCAAUUUUUGGAAAUGCCACAAACCACGCUGUUUUUAACAAUCAGCAUCUGUCUAAGCUGUCAGUUUACUGAAUGAAACAUUUCAUCAUUCUGGCUAUAUCCAAAAUCAAACUGGUGGCAAAUCCCCCUUUAGAGACCAAAUCUCCACUGAAUGGAUAAAGCUUAAGAAAGAAAAAGUAACAAGUCAUCUACAACAAGCUAUGGGAGAUUUAUUACCAAUGACAGGACACCCUGAACUAUCAAAGCUUAACUGAUAACCUAAUUGCAUAAAAAGAAGUCUUCAAAAUUGGAUCGUUCAUUGAUAUACAGGAAUCAUGAGCCCAAAAGUCAACUGAACAAGGAUGUUUGUGUUUACUGGUUACCUAUCAAUAUCUGUAGGAAAGCUAUAGAACUUCCCUAAACAUAUCUUAGAAAUAUAAACUGUUAAAUGAGGUACCGCCAAACCAAGACAGCCUACCCAUCAUUAUCAAGCUGGUUUUUGGGGAUAUUGUUGCUUCUAAGUCAAUGGUUAGGUAGAUAAAGCCUUUUUUCUGAGAUGUUGGAGCUCUAUGUCCUAGUGCCCAAGUAUAUUAUUAACUAAGAAAUUGUUCAUAAUUUUCAACAAGUUCCAGUUUUCUUUUGCAUGUGGAUACAUAUUUGUGGAAGUAGAGGGAUUUUGUGCUAAGAACUAUUCUGUUAGAGAUCUAGAUUUCUUAAAUCAUCUUAAAGAAAAUUUUCACCUUUAUCCUGCAAAAAACUCUUUUUCUAAAGUAACUUUGUCCUGUUAGAUUUUUUCCUCUUCAUCCUCGAGUUCACACUCUGAUAUAUGGGGUAAUGAAUAAUGACAUACACAAAAGUAAAAAAAUAAUGAAGACAAGCAGAGGUUUUAAAUUUUCCACAAGUUAGAUCCCUGUGAAACUAGGUGGUAAUAGAAUAAACAGUGGACAGUAUAUUUUACAUCCAGAACAAAAUUAAGACAAAUAGACCAGGAAAUAGGUGAUCUCUAUUUUUCUUCUUUUUGUUUUUUAACAAGAAAGCAAAUUUUAGUGUUAUAUAGUUAAUGACAGCAAUUAUAAUAAUAGUAAUAUCACAGACUAUGUGCUGUAACAACAUUGCAUUAUUGUAGAGGUCUUCAUAGUCAAUCAUCAUUUCUUAGAAAAUCUGAAGCAGUAGGUCAGCAUUCACAAUUUAAUUUUCUAGCAGUGGCUGAAACUCACAGGCACAGAGCAAUAAAGGAACAGACUAACAUCAUAACUCUUAGUUCUAUACUUGGCUCACUGGUUAUCCACAGUGAAGGUCUUUCCUCGUUCUCUCUCCAGCACCAACUAGAAUAAGGCUAUUUUGUUGCACAUAGAAUUGUGCAGCUAAAUUUCCAACCUCUUUGCAAAAUGUCAAAGCUUUCUAUGUCUGUAAGUUUUCCAGCUCCCUUCAUCUAUUUAGGUUUCUAUGCCUCCCAGCAGAGCUGUCAGAAGAAGUUAGUUUUUAAAAGAUUACACAGAAAUGGGAAAGCAAGAAGCCAGAACAAUCGAGUUACCAUCAUUGUUUAUUCAACCACGUAAGGGAGUGAUACUGUUGAGGAUCUUAGAAAAUGUUGGCUAGGAAAAGAGAGAGAAAAAGCUUUAGAUUUUGUUGAUUACCUAUAAAAGGGAGGCAUUCCCCCAUCUUCCAGCCAAGGAAUUCCUCUACAUGUAUUUUAUAAUUAAAGCUUAUUUCACGACGACAGAUUUUUUUUUCAGUUUUGCAUGGCCUGAAGUUUUUAUAAUUUGAGAG